Non-coding RNA from Myotis lucifugus (little brown bat), 73 nucleotides. The record is from Rfam. Lineage: Eukaryota; Metazoa; Chordata; Mammalia; Chiroptera; Vespertilionidae.
AUUGGAGGAAGGGGUCCCUCAGCCUGGAUUGUGAGAGGUUGCAGGCCAGGCCGAGGGACCCCACGGGUGCACA